This 73-nucleotide transfer RNA is filed under the name Athene brama. RNAcentral describes it as "tRNA-Asn". It matches the Rfam family "tRNA". Rfam says of the family: Transfer RNA (tRNA) molecules are approximately 80 nucleotides in length. Their secondary structure includes four short double-helical elements and three loops (D, anti-codon, and T loops). The record is from RNAcentral. Lineage: Eukaryota; Metazoa; Chordata; Aves; Strigiformes; Strigidae.
UAGGCAGAAGCCUGUUGGUUUGGGCACCUAGCUGUUAAUUAGGUUGUUAUGGGAUCGAGGCCCAUCUGCCUAG